AGUGAACGCUGGCGGUAGGCCUAACACAUGCAAGUCGAACGGCAGCACAGUAAGAGCUUGCUCUUACGGGUGGCGAGUGGCGGACGGGUGAGGAAUACAUCGGAAUCUACUUUUUCGUGGGGGAUAACGUAGGGAAACUUACGCUAAUACCGCAUACGACCUACGGGUGAAAGCAGGGGAUCUUCGGACCUUGCGCGAUUGAAUGAGCCGAUGUCGGAUUAGCUAGUUGGCGGGGUAAAGGCCCACCAAGGCGACGAUCCGUAGCUGGUCUGAGAGGAUGAUCAGCCACACUGGAACUGAGACACGGUCCAGACUCCUACGGGAGGCAGCAGUGGGGAAUAUUGGACAAUGGGCGCAAGCCUGACCCAGCCAUACCGCGUGGGUGAAGAAGUCCUUCGGGUUGUAAAGCCCUUUUGUUGGGAAAGAAAAGCAGCAGGUUAAUACCCCGCUGUUCUGACGGUACCCAAAGAAUAAGCACCGGCUAACUUCGUG
This 492-nucleotide ribosomal RNA is filed under the name uncultured bacterium. Its description in RNAcentral is "partial 16S ribosomal RNA". It matches the Rfam family "Bacterial small subunit ribosomal RNA", at positions 29 to 507 of the family's 1533-position model. The record is from RNAcentral.